AGGAUAAACGCUGGCGGCGUGCCUAACACAUGCAAGUCGAACGUCUCUUCUUUCGGGAAGAGGAGUGGCGGACGGGUGAGGAACACGUGGGAACCUGCCCUUCAGUGAGGAAUACCGGCGAGAAAUCGCCGACAAGACCGCAUAGCCCUCUCUGGUGAGAGCCAGAGAAGGAAAGCCUCGCAAGAGGCGCUGGAGGAGGGGCCUGCGUCCGAUUAGCUAGUUGGUGGGGUAAGAGCCUACCAAGGCGUCGAUCGGUAGCUGGUCUGAGAGGACGAUCAGCCACACUGGGAUUGAGAACGGCCCAGACUCCUACGGGGGGCAGCAGUGAGGAAUUUUCGGCAAUGGGGGAAACCCUGACUGAGCAACGCCGCGUGCAGGAAGACGGCCUUCGGGUUGUAAACUGCUUUUCGUUUGGGACGAGCAAGGACGGUACCAGAGGAAUCAGCCCGGCUCACUACGUGCCAGCAGCCGC
RNAcentral lists this ribosomal RNA (472 nucleotides) under uncultured bacterium. RNAcentral's name for it is "SSU rRNA". It matches the Rfam family "Bacterial small subunit ribosomal RNA", at positions 26 to 518 of the family's 1533-position model. The record is from RNAcentral.